This 253-nucleotide ribosomal RNA is filed under the name uncultured bacterium. RNAcentral's name for it is "partial 16S ribosomal RNA". It matches the Rfam family "Bacterial small subunit ribosomal RNA", at positions 524 to 776 of the family's 1533-position model. The record is from RNAcentral.
UACGGGGGGGGCAAGCGUUGUUCGGAAUUACUGGGCGUAAAGGGCUCGUAGGUGGCCAACUAAGUCAGACGUGAAAUCCCUCGGCUUAACCGGGGAACUGCGUCUGAUACUGGAUGGCUUGAGUUCGGGAGAGGGAUGCGGAAUUCCAGGUGUAGCGGUGAAAUGCGUAGAUAUCUGGAGGAACACCGGUGGCGAAGGCGGCAUCCUGGACCGAUACUGACGCUGAGGAGCGAAAGCCAGGGGGGCAAACGGG